CAAUAUUAGCAUUUUAGAAAAAUUCAAUCUAUAUACCUUUACUACUAUUCUCUAUUAUUCCUAAGCAAUUUUUCAAACAUAAAUUUUCUUAUAUUCUUCUGAAAAAGAGAAUUUCAUACCAAAACUAAAAUUCAUUUUAUUCUUCUAUAUCCUAGAAUACACGCUAAAUCCAAGAAUAAAAACAUUUAUACUUCUAAAUAUUAUUUCAUUACCAAACGCAACCUAAGGGUUUUGUAAU
This 238-nucleotide long non-coding RNA is filed under the name Ananas comosus (pineapple). RNAcentral's name for it is "long non-coding RNA (ACOM_LNC011492)". Lineage: Eukaryota; Viridiplantae; Streptophyta; Magnoliopsida; Poales; Bromeliaceae. The record is from RNAcentral.